This 479-nucleotide ribosomal RNA is filed under the name uncultured bacterium. RNAcentral describes it as "partial 16S ribosomal RNA". It matches the Rfam family "Bacterial small subunit ribosomal RNA", at positions 28 to 507 of the family's 1533-position model. The record is from RNAcentral.
GAUGAACGCUAGCGGGAGGCCUAACACAUGCAAGCCGAGCGGUAUUUGUUCUUCGGAACAGAGAGAGCGGCGCACGGGUGCGGAACACGUGUGCAACCUGCCUUUAUCUGGGGGAUAGCCUUUCGAAAGGAAGAUUAAUACCCCAUAAUAUAUUGAGUGGCAUCAUUUGAUAUUGAAAACUCCGGUGGAUAGAGAUGGGCACGCGCAAGAUUAGAUAGUUGGUGAGGUAACGGCUCACCAAGUCAAUGAUCUUUAGGGGGCCUGAGAGGCUGAUCCCCCACACUGGUACUGAGACACGGACCACACUCAUACGGGAGGCAGCAGUGAGGAAUAUUGGACAAUGGGUUAGCGCCUGAUCCAGCCAUCCCGCGUGAAGGACGACGGCCCUAUGGGUUGUAAACUUCUUUUGUAUAGGGAUAAACCUACUAUCGUGAGAGUAGCUGAAGGUACUAUACGAAUAAGCACCGGCUAACUACGUG